This 492-nucleotide ribosomal RNA is filed under the name uncultured bacterium. RNAcentral describes it as "partial 16S ribosomal RNA". It matches the Rfam family "Bacterial small subunit ribosomal RNA", at positions 29 to 507 of the family's 1533-position model. The record is from RNAcentral.
AGUGAACGCUGGCGGUAGGCCUAACACAUGCAAGUCGAACGGCAGCACAGUAAGAGCUUGCUCUUACGGGUGGCGAGUGGCGGACGGGUGAGGAGUACAUCGGAAUCUACUUUUUCGUGGGGGAUAACGUAGGGAAACUUACGCUAAUACCGCAUACGACCUACGGGUGAAAGCAGGGGAUCUUCGGACCUUGCGCGAUUGAAUGAGCCGAUGUCGGAUUAGCUAGUUGGCGGGGUAAAGGCCCACCAAGGCGACGAUCCGUAGCUGGUCUGAGAGGAUGAUCGGCCACACUGGAACUGAGACACGGUCCAGACUCCUACGGGAGGCAGCAGUGGGGAAUAUUGGACAAUGGGCGCAAGCCUGAUCCAGCCAUACCGCGUGGGUGAAGAAGGCCUUCGGGUUGUAAAGCCCUUUUGUUGGGAAAGAAAAGCAGCAGGUUAAUACCCCGCUGUUCUGACGGUACCCAAAGAAUAAGCACCGGCUAACUUCGUG